This 745-nucleotide ribosomal RNA is filed under the name uncultured bacterium. RNAcentral's name for it is "bacterial SSU rRNA". It matches the Rfam family "Bacterial small subunit ribosomal RNA", at positions 28 to 771 of the family's 1533-position model. The record is from RNAcentral.
GAUGAACGCUGGCGGCGUGCUUAACACAUGCAAGUCGAACGAAGCACUUUAUUUGAUUUCCUUCGGGACUGAUUAUUUUGUGACUGAGUGGCGGACGGGUGAGUAACGCGUGGGUAACCUGCCUUGUACAGGGGGAUAACAGUUGGAAACGGCUGCUAAUACCGCAUAAGCGCACGGCAUCGCAUGAUGCAGUGUGAAAAACUCCGGUGGUAUAAGAUGGACCCGCGUUGGAUUAGCUAGUUGGUGAGGUAACGGCCCACCAAGGCGACGAUCCAUAGCCGACCUGAGAGGGUGACCGGCCACAUUGGGACUGAGACACGGCCCAAACUCCUACGGGAGGCAGCAGUGGGGAAUAUUGCACAAUGGGCGAAAGCCUGAUGCAGCGACGCCGCGUGAGCGAUGAAGUAUUUCGGUAUGUAAAGCUCUAUCAGCAGGGAAGAUAAUGACGGUACCUGACUAAGAAGCACCGGCUAAAUACGUGCCAGCAGCCGCGGUAAUACGUAUGGUGCAAGCGUUAUCCGGAUUUACUGGGUGUAAAGGGAGCGCAGGCGGUGCGGCAAGUCUGAUGUGAAAGCCCGGGGCUCAACCCCGGUACUGCAUUGGAAACUGUCGUACCAGAGUGUCGGAGGGGUAAGCGGAAUUCCUAGUGUAGCGGUGAAAUGCGUAGAUAUUAGGAGGAACACCAGUGGCGAAGGCGGCUUACUGGACGAUAACUGACGCUGAGGCUCGAAAGCGUGGGGAGCAA